UCCCAGACUCCUACGGGAGGCAGCAGUGGGGAAUAUUGCACAAUGGGGGGAACCCUGAUGCAGCGACGCCGCGUGGGUGAAGGAGCGUUUCGGCGCGUAAAGCCCUAUCGGCAGGGAAGAAGGAGGACGGUACCUGACUAAGAAGCCCCGGCUAACUACGUGCCAGCAGCCGCGGUAAUACGCAGGGGGCAAGCGUUAUCCGGAUUUACUGGGUGUAAAGGGGGCGCAGACGGCAGCGCAAGCCAGGAGUGAAAGCCCGGGGCCCAACCCCGGGACUGCUUUGGAAACUGAGCAGCUAGAGUGCAGGAGAGGUAAGUGGAAUUCCUAGUGUAGCGGUGAAAUGCGUAGAUAUUAGGAGGAACACCAGUGGCGAAGGCGGCUUACUGGACUGUAACUGACGUUGAGGCUCGAAAGCGUGGGGAGCGAACAGGAUUAGAUACCCGUGUAGUG
RNAcentral lists this ribosomal RNA (450 nucleotides) under uncultured bacterium. Its description in RNAcentral is "partial 16S ribosomal RNA". It matches the Rfam family "Bacterial small subunit ribosomal RNA", at positions 329 to 795 of the family's 1533-position model. The record is from RNAcentral.